UUGAGUGGCCAGUUUGAAAUUGAUGUCAAUUUGAAAAAUGGAUAAAGGCAACUGCUCUUGGUCGUCACUAAAUAAGCCGUUGGUUUGACUGAAACCAAAGCAAUAAGUGGCGCGGAGUGAGUUAGCAUUUUGUCAGAAGCGUGACAGUGGACUUUUACCAGGUGAUAUCAACGAAAGAAAACUUGGGUGAAUACGUACAAUAUUCUUAAAAAGGAUCAAGGGCGGAGUGAUUAGCGGGGAUCUGAUGACGAUUACCGACCGGUCGAGCUGCCCUGCAUAUCCUUUCAAUUUUCAUAAACAAAUGCAAACGCAUAUAGUAAAUGAAUAAAAAGACGACCCUCCUCCUCCUCGCGCGCUUGUGUCCAUCGCGGAGAAAAGGUGUAACUAAACUCGCGGGUUUGGGCCGUACCCGAUCCAAUGAAGGUCUUGUUAUGGAACCGGGCGGGUUUGGUGCGAGGCUGAGGCAUGACAGAAGGUGGACGAAGGUGGCUGUUCGUGCUGCUGUACAUGUUAUUUUUAUCUACAAUGCUUGUCUGUUUAUUUGUCAACGCAUGUUCCGCCCAUCCAUGCUCUCUACCUUCCCACAUGUUCGGGUGGUGCCCGGGGUGGGCACCAUCUGAGCUGCAGUCCUGGUGAAGACCCAUGGCAGGGUGACAUCGCAAAUGGGUUAUACAAACUGCAUCAUCAUGGGUGGAGAUUUCAGUGUCACCCAACACAGCUCAACAUGGAGAAAAGACCUUGGCCACCCCUCAGAGGCCAACAUGGAUAACAGACUCAUUGAUGGACUUUGUCUUCAUUCUUAAUCCCAGCAUAUACCUUCCUUUUAGCAAGCAUGUCCACUCUUUUCUGUUUUCGGUAAUGUUAGUCUGCCCGGGG
Molecule: long non-coding RNA, 876 nt
Organism: Paramormyrops kingsleyae
Lineage: Eukaryota; Metazoa; Chordata; Actinopteri; Osteoglossiformes; Mormyridae
Source: RefSeq, a predicted model, not a curated record